GCGACGUUGGUGCAGUCCGGUUCAGCACGUCGCCCUUUCAAGGCGAAGACCAGCGGUUCAAAUCCGCUACGUCGCA
RNAcentral lists this transfer RNA (76 nucleotides) under Chloroflexota bacterium. RNAcentral's name for it is "Chloroflexi bacterium (freshwater metagenome) tRNA-Glu". It matches the Rfam family "tRNA". From Rfam's summary of the family: Transfer RNA (tRNA) molecules are approximately 80 nucleotides in length. Lineage: Bacteria; Bacillati; Chloroflexota. The record is from RNAcentral.